Molecule: long non-coding RNA, 4170 nt
Organism: Passer domesticus (house sparrow)
Lineage: Eukaryota; Metazoa; Chordata; Aves; Passeriformes; Passeridae
Exons: 3
Source: RefSeq, a predicted model, not a curated record
AGUCCAGCUCCUGGCCCUGCACAGGACCGCCCCCAAAUCCCACCCUGUGCCUUGUCCCAAUUCUCCCUGAGCCGUGGCAGCCUUGGGGCUGUGACCACGGAAUGGGGGUCGCCAGGCCACCUGAAGGGCAUUUGAUCCUUUUUGAUAAACCUGAAUUGCUUUUGUUACUUUCUGACCAACUAAGUGUGGUGAGCCAAGCGAAGAAUUGGAUGCACACCUGCGCAGAGCACAAGCAGCAGCCUGGUUACAAGCAGAGCUCCACUACAAAAGGCAGCCUGGAGCAUCUCCACCCUCAUUUUAAGUGAGAAGACAGACCAAACACACCCACAAAGCGCUUUACUUUAAACCUCUGGAGCUUCCAGAAUCAGCAUCCAGAGCUGUGGUCUCAUAUGAAGAGUUAAAACCUGCCAAGCCUUCCCAAAAGGAACAUGAAUGUAGGACAGGAAUGCCAGAGCCUACACAGGAAGGCAGUUUUCCUCCAGGUGAGGCAGCUGUGCCUUGCACAAACACGCUGAAUUCGUGACAUAAAGGCGGCAGCAAAGGGACUUUGGAACUCACGAGCAAGUCCAAAGCAUUUACUCCAGCAGUUCCUCUCCGGGGAACGCUCCGUGCAGCACAGGGAGGCUGGAGGAGGUUUCCAUUCACAGCGGCAAGAAUGGAUGCGCUCCCACCUGCGAGAAGGGAAUGCGCACUGCAAGCACCCCAACAGCAGCGCAUUUCCAAACCCCUCACACAAACAAGUCACACGGAGCUGGGACACCUGCAUAGGAACACCCUCAGCAGUGCUGAACCCCUGCGUGGGCUGGUGGUUGCAUUUCAGGGGAGCUGUCUGCCAGGUUCCUCAUCCAGAAGUACACAGUCACGAGAAAAUGAAACAUAUUCCCCUGGCACUACAUCACUUUUUCCCUCAUGGUAUAUUCUGGAAACAAGGAUUUGGACCAAGUAUCUGCUACUGCUGUGCCAUACAGUUAUUCUUUAAUUUAAAAAAAUAUUCAGAAGAAAAUAUUAAAUUCAAUUUUAAUUCCCUUUCUUGUUGAUGUUUUUGUGGGUUUUUUAAAGUCAUUAUAAGGAUGAGUGAUCCAAACGGAGAUUUUUCUUUUAAAAAUCCUUUUUUUCUGUUUCACAUUUCCCAAGCAGAAAAAAGACAAGAAGGGGCCAAGGAGUUCCUCGAGAAAUUUCAAGCAUGAAUUUUAUCACAGGAGGGCUGCACAUAUUCCUGGAGAAAAGCACUUGGGGAAACCAAUGGACAACACGAGGAGUCAGAGGUACAUCACUGCGGUAAAGCAAUGGAAAGACCAAAAAUGUCUGUGGAAACCAGGAAAGAUGUAAGAGCAGGGUAAAAAAAGAGGAUCAACUGGGAGAAAUCACACAGAAAAUACGUGGGUUUGCAGUUCAUUGCAACAGCUGGAGCUGGAGGGACAGAUUUACGUCAGUGUGGAAUUCUCUGCUGUAGCACAUGGUGCACCUCUCUUAUUUCCUCACUGGAGCUGCUGGACUUUGAUCAAUAAAGCUUCUGGAGGGCAGCAGGACAGGUGACAUCGUGCCAGGGACUCACUCCCUCCUUUCCAAGAGAUGAGGAUGGCCUAAAGCCUGUCCCAAGGCCUUCUGCUGGAGCAGCUCCCUCACCACCACCUCCCAAGCAGUGCUGACUCCAGAAGCUGCUGCCGGUCCCAGGCUUGCCGGGCCUCUGGUGGACUCUGGAGAUCCAUGGUGGAGCUGCUGCACCUGCCCCAGGGCUUGCUGCCUCCCCCUGGAGAAGCUCUCACUGCUGCUGUCCCACCAUGUGUGAGUCAGCGCUCAGAGAAGUAGGUCCUUGAAGGUUCCCCAAAAGAAAGGAAUUAUUUGUCCGUGAGUGACAGUCCUGGCAAGCACCUUGCUGCCCGAGCAGGGCAGUGUGUGUGCUCUCUCUGCUGCUGGAGCACUCCUAGGUGGGAUUAAUUUACUCCUCAGUGAACCAGAAGGAGGUUGGCAGAAUAACUGAUUUGAUAGCUCAGUGAUUCUGUCACGCUCUUGCUAUGCAGGAGACCAAACGUUCUCUCUGGCCUAAAAAAGCAUCACUCCUGACAGGCUGGGAGGCAUUGCUGGCCACUUAACUCCUGCCUCUGGAAGCACCAGAGGGAGAAAGAAAUGAAAAAUUAAUGCCUGAUUUUUUCUCUUUCUGUGCGGGACAAGGACAAAAAUAUAGGCUGGAGCAAAAGAGGUUUUCAUUUGUUUGCCCUGGAAAGAAACAAGGAAUGCUCUGAUAGGAUUCAAAUUUCAAGUUUCAUCUCAGAAUUUUAAAGAAUACAUUUUUCUUCUCUUUUUUUUUUUUUAGUUUGAAGUAUUCUUAAUUAAGAAUACACCUUUAAAAUAAUGCUUUUGAAGAGAGUGAUUUCUUUUUAAUGCACUUGUCCUGGUUAUUUUGAGCUGAGUAAAUUUUAAUGAAUUCUUAGCAAACAAAAUAUUCCAUUGUUUACACAGUUCUUUUUACAAGCAAUUAGAGUCAGUAACACUCCAUGAAUAAGACCUUUUGCUACUGGCUUUCAUAACAUGGAUUUGAAAUAUAAACAUUACUAAAAAAAAAAUAUUUCAAGCUGUGAAUUAAAUGUUUCCUGGGGCCUGGAGUAACCUGGUCUAUGGAAGGUGUCCCUGCCCAUGGCAGGAGUUUGGAAUGAGAUGAGCUUUGAGAUCCCCUCCAACCCAAACCAUUCUGUGAUUCCAUGAUUCUACGAUUUCUGGAAGUUUGAGCACCAGUCUUGAACCCUGUAUGAUUGGCUGACUCAGAAAGGAUAAACGCUUCUCCUUCCAGAGUUCCCAGGGGUUUGUUACUUUUGGUUCAGUGGUGAUAGACUCUGGGAAAUAUGUGCAUUUCUCUGGCCUGGUAGGACCCAUUUUAAUAUUACCUUGCCACAUAAACCCAAGAGAAAGAUCUGCAUGUGGAAAAGCCGGCUGUGACAGCCUCAAUAUCAUCAAGGUGAGGAACUAAGUGUGAUCUUGGCUGACAAACUCCACAGAGGCUGCCAGGGCUGCAAGGGAAGCAGGAAACACAGGAGCCCACACUGGCAUGCCAGCACUGAAAUUGUGCCCAGUCUUCCUUCUGAAUGCUUUUGGGAUAGUGACUCCAACACUUCCCUGGGUAACCUGUGCCAGGGAUGGACAACCUUUUCCAUGAAGAAAUUUUCCUAAUAUUCAACCUAAACCUCCUCUGGUGCAACCUGAAGCCGUUUCUUGUUGUCCUGUCUCUUGUUCCCCCUGCUUCCAUGGUGCCAAGGGCUGCUGUAAUGAGCUCUACCAUUCUCAUUUUAGCAAGCAAAUUAAAGAGGAUUCCAUCAGUUCUCUGCCUACAUCCUCCCCAGACACACACGAAGGGCAAGGUGUUUGCUUCUGGCUUACAUUUGGGUCAGGUGAGCAACAGAAAUACCGUGACCUCCACUUGACAGAAACUCCUUUCCCAUCCUUAUUUCUAUCUAGAAUUUUUUUUUUUUAUUCUGAACUACAGGGAGGUCUUUCCAUUUAUUAAAAAGAAAAAACACCUGGUAGAAUCCAGAGGAAACAAAAACAUGGUAUUUCCUGGAUAAUAUCCCUGUAGAGAAGUAGCUUCUCUGUUUCUCCGUUAGAGAACCAUUUGCCAGAGAUCAAUUAAAGUGAGGUUGGGACAAAGAAUGAAAUAUCAAUCCAGCAGGAAAUGGUAUCAGAUAUUAGCAGACAAUAGACACACAUUAGUUACAUGCACUCACCAACAAGAUGGCUUGGGUUGCCUUAUCUUGGGAAAAACAAGGAUCAGCAGGAUACACAGGGAAUUGUAGUAAAUGUACCAUCACUGCAGGAAGGCAAUGCAAAGGGUGCAAAAAACACUAUCACAGAGGGAAAAAAUUAUACCAGACACAGGAAAAUAUUAUUCCCAUAUUGAAAUAUAGUUUAAAGGACAUUUCAAAGUAUUUUAAGGGUUUUUAAAUAUAAGCAACAGUUAAAGAUUUAUACAGGGUUUAAAGGGUUUUAGAAAUCACAAAGGCACACAUUUAUACCAGUGUAAAUUCAGAAUAAGUGAGAAUUAAGCAAUCAUAGGAUUAAUUUUGAACUCUGUCCUCCAGUGAGAUGGGUGACCAAGUUUAUAUUCUAUGGGAUCCCUUCAGCACCCCCACAACAGAAACAAGGAAAAGUUACCACUCUGGUGAGCUGCUUGGUGCCUCC